RNAcentral lists this ribosomal RNA (454 nucleotides) under uncultured Rikenellaceae bacterium. Its description in RNAcentral is "partial 16S ribosomal RNA". It matches the Rfam family "Bacterial small subunit ribosomal RNA", at positions 341 to 792 of the family's 1533-position model. Lineage: Bacteria; Pseudomonadati; Bacteroidota; Bacteroidia; Bacteroidales; Rikenellaceae. The record is from RNAcentral.
ACGGAAGGCAGCAGUGAGGAAUAUUGGUCAAUGGACGGAAGUCUGAACCAGCCAUGCCGCGUGAAGGAAUAAGGCCCUAUGGGUCGUAAACUUCUUUUGUGGUGGAGCAAUAAGGUGCACGUGUGCAUCGAUGAGAGUACAUCACGAAUAAGCAUCGGCUAACUCCGUGCCAGCAGCCGCGGUAAUACGGAGGAUGCGAGCGUUAUCCGGAUUUAUUGGGUGUAAAGGGUGCGUAGGCUGUUCUUCAAGUCAGAGGUGAAAUACCGGGGCUCAACCCUGGAACUGCCUUUGAUACUGGAGGGCUUGAAUACUGUUGCCGUGGGAGGAAUGAGUAGUGUAGCGGUGAAAUGCAUAGAUAUUACUCAGAACACCGAUUGCGAAGGCAUCUCACGAAGCAGCGAUUGACGCUGAGGCACGAAAGCGUGGGGAUCAAACAGGAUUAGAUACCCUGGUA